GGGGAUUUGGCUCAGUGGUAGAGCGCUUGCCUAGGAAGCGCAAGGCCCUGGGUUCGAUUCCCAGCUCCG
Molecule: non-coding RNA, 69 nt
Organism: Rattus norvegicus (Norway rat)
Lineage: Eukaryota; Metazoa; Chordata; Mammalia; Rodentia; Muridae
Source: Rfam